This 396-nucleotide ribosomal RNA is filed under the name uncultured bacterium. RNAcentral describes it as "bacterial SSU rRNA". It matches the Rfam family "Bacterial small subunit ribosomal RNA", at positions 29 to 417 of the family's 1533-position model. The record is from RNAcentral.
AGCGAACGUUAGCGGCGGGCUUAACACAUGCAAGUCGAGCGAGAAAAGGGCUUCGGCCCUGAGUACAGCGGCAGACGGGUGAGUAAUACGUAGGUAACCUUCCGUUUUGUGGGGGACAACGGUCCGAAAGGACCGCUAAUACCGCAUACGUCUCCUGGGACCGUCGGUUCCGGGAGGGAAAGCCUCGCAAGGGGCGCAGAAUGAGGGGCCUAUGUCGCAUCAGCUAGUUGGUGGGGUAAUGGCCUACCAAGGCGAAGACGCGUAGCUGGUCUGAGAGGAUGAUCAGCCACACUGGGACUGAGACACGGCCCAGACUCCUACGGGAGGCAGCAGUGGGGAAUAUUGGACAAUGGGCGCAAGCCUGAUCCAGCCACGCCGCGUGAGUGAUGAAGGCCU